CAAUAGCGUAUAUUUAAGUUGUUGCAGUUAAAAAGCUCGUAGUUGAAUUUGUGUUUGUCUUCUCUGAUGAGCCCUUCGGUUUGUCAGUAUAAGACUUGCAUUGUGUAGUUUAAUCGCUACACCAUUACCUUGAGGAAAUUAGAGUGUUUCAAGCAGGCUUUUGCCUUGAAUACUACAGCAUGGAAUAAUAAGAUAAGACUUUGGUCUUGUUUUGUUGGUUUACGGACUAAAGUAAUGAUUAAUAGGGAUAGUUGGUGGCAUUCGUAUUUAACAGUCAGAGGUGAAAUUCUUGGAUUUGUUAAAGACGAGCUACUGCGAAAGCAUUUGCCAAGGAUGUUUNCAUUAA
Molecule: ribosomal RNA, 346 nt
Filed under: uncultured eukaryote
Lineage: Eukaryota
Description: partial 18S ribosomal RNA
Rfam family: Eukaryotic small subunit ribosomal RNA
Source: RNAcentral